RNAcentral lists this long non-coding RNA (367 nucleotides) under Homo sapiens (human). RNAcentral describes it as "non-protein coding STARD13-AS:13". Lineage: Eukaryota; Metazoa; Chordata; Mammalia; Primates; Hominidae. The record is from RNAcentral.
GGAAAACUUGGGGGAGAAUGGGCAUCCCACCCCAGCACUUUCUAGGAAGAAGGGCAGCAUUUUGAAGGGCUGGAAGUAGAGGAAGGAGGUUGCGGGUAGAAGACUCCAUACUUUCUGUGACGCCUAUUCCUUAGUCAGAGGCAUGGCUUGCCUGGGCCUCUGGGUGCAGCUGCACAGAUUCAAGCAGCCUGAAGGAAAGGUGACUGACAGCUAAUGAUCUGAAAAGAACUUGUCUCAACUCAACGUCAUUCCUGGCAUUAUCGAACAAAGCAAUAAACCUCACAGAAUGGAAGCUACAGUGUCCAGGGCCAGCUCUGCUAAGGUAACCAAAGACAGAGAAGGAGGCAAAAGUGACAGAAGAAACUCA